RNAcentral lists this long non-coding RNA (475 nucleotides) under Equus caballus (horse). Its description in RNAcentral is "lncRNA (ENSECAG00000050378.1)". The record is from RNAcentral. Lineage: Eukaryota; Metazoa; Chordata; Mammalia; Perissodactyla; Equidae.
UGGACAACGAAUGAGGUGAUGCCACUUCCGCACAGCCAAGGAGGCUUGGGGUCAAGCAUCCAAAUGCCAGAUUCAGGAUUGGAAUGAACCUUCAGGACAUCUCGUUCACCCCUGUGCAAUGCCAGAGUCCCUGCUUAUCAUCUUUGCCAAGUGGCUGUCCAGCCUCCACUGAUGAAGUGCUCACUACUUCCUUAAGAAGCCAUUUUAUCCUGAGACAGCUCUAAGUUUUCCUAAGUCUAGAUCAGCAGUUCAACUCAAGAUGGUGUUUGAAGAACAUACAAACCCUGCCUUCCUUCAUCAAAUUUCAUGGAAAUAAUGGAAAGAUACAUCAAAAGAGUGUAUCCAUAUCAGCCUGAGAAAACUAGAAAUCAUGGCAUCAAUAGGUCAGAAAAAUCUGAAGAUAGAAGAAGCAGAUAGAAUCUGAUUUAUGGAGAAAACCAGAGUGGUUAAAUCAGCACAGGAGAAACUGGCUAAA